CCCUAGGUGAACCUGCGGAAGGAUCAUUGU
This 30-nucleotide ribosomal RNA is filed under the name Struthanthus martianus. RNAcentral's name for it is "partial 18S ribosomal RNA". The record is from RNAcentral. Lineage: Eukaryota; Viridiplantae; Streptophyta; Magnoliopsida; Santalales; Loranthaceae.